UGCCUUGUUUUUAUUUAAGUUUUUUCAAGUUUUCGCAAUUUAAUCUAUUUUAUUUUUAUGACAAAGUUUGUCAUACGUUUUAACUUCGUUUUGGCCUUCUUUUGUCACAAUUUUUUCUUGCACUUUACCCCAUCCUGAGCUUGAUUUUGGAUAUCCAACGCCUCGGUCGAUCUGAAGCUGGUUGCCUGUGCUCCACCGCUGCUGUUUUUGGGCUACUCGAUGUCUCUCUCCCUCUCCUUCAUCCUGUCGGCGGAUUUGACGCUGACCAGCAGCUAGGUUAGUCGGUUGACUAAUAACUAGCCCUCCCAGGGAGAUUGAGGCUUUGCGCUGUGCUUUGCCUGAGCUGCUGUAGCCUACUAAACAUGGGAUAUAUCUACACCGCGGAGCAGCUCCAACAGCUUGCCUCCUAUGCCAUCAGUUCCAUCGAUGAAGAUGUACUCCAGCUUUGCCAGGUUACGGGGAUCCGUCGGAGGAAGCGCUACAUACACAGAGGGUCUCGUCGCUCCUUCAAGAUCUACAAUCGAGCAACGGAGGAUGCCAUACCGACUAUCCAGUCUCGGCGCGGCUCUCCUGGACGAUCCUCUCCUGUAGGCAACUCUGCCCCCCGCAAGGAAGUCUUCCAUCAACACUUCACAGGCCGGAAUGAUCUCUCCCUGGCUCGUUGUUCGUGGGAUCCGAGGUUCCCCUGCCAUGUAGGCCUAUCCAUCACCCCGCACCGACCUCAAACACCUGUCAGCUCUGCUCGUCCGAGAUUGCGGAUCCGUAGCGGUGGGGUGAAUCCCCUGAACAUCCGCCCUCUGGAAUACUGCCGUCACCCCCAGACUGUGAUUCACUCCACAGCAAAAGCCGCCCUGGUCAACAGCAGGUCUGUGUCGAACAAAACUUUCGUUUUAAAUGACUUUUUCUCUCGUCACAAUCUGGACUUCCUAUUUUUAACCGAGACUUGGAUAGGCGCUGGAGUUGGUCAGUCUUCUGUUUUCAGCGAACUUUGCCCCACCAACUGCUCGUUUAUUAGCAUGCCAAGGUGCGUUGGAAGAGGAGGCGGAGUAGCUCUCGUUUUCAAGAAUGAUUUUAAAGUACGGACACUCUCUGUAGGCAGUUUUUCCACUUUCGAACUGCAAUGCAUAAUUGUAGAAUCUGCCACGUCCCCACUGGCUAGUGUUCUGAUCUAUAGACCCCCUAAGCCUGACAAAGACUUUAUAACAGAAUUCUCUGACUUUCUGUCCCAUUUUGUG
This 1235-nucleotide long non-coding RNA is filed under the name Gadus morhua (Atlantic cod). RNAcentral's name for it is "lncRNA (ENSGMOG00000033170.1)". The record is from RNAcentral. Lineage: Eukaryota; Metazoa; Chordata; Actinopteri; Gadiformes; Gadidae.